Molecule: long non-coding RNA, 249 nt
Filed under: Phoenix dactylifera (date palm)
Lineage: Eukaryota; Viridiplantae; Streptophyta; Magnoliopsida; Arecales; Arecaceae
Description: long non-coding RNA (PDAC_LNC011936)
Source: RNAcentral
CCUCUUGAAUGUCUGGUCGACUUGAAUGCAGGAGGAGGCUUCUUUAAAUGCUGGAAAGAGGAAGUUGGAUGGAGUUAAUGCCGCUCUUCCCUCUUUUCGUUGAAAACCAACUUGCAGAGAAUGAAAGCUUGAUCUCUUUGAAUGGAAUGGUGCUUCUCUACCUUGCUACAGUCCUCUGUGGCUAUUUAAACCAUCCCCCACAGAAACUAGCCGUUAGAGACCUUUUUCUGCCCGUUCUGCACACUCUGC